RNAcentral lists this long non-coding RNA (672 nucleotides) under Homo sapiens (human). RNAcentral describes it as "COL6A2 divergent transcript (COL6A2-DT)". Lineage: Eukaryota; Metazoa; Chordata; Mammalia; Primates; Hominidae. The record is from RNAcentral.
GCAGAGCCUGGGCAUGCGGCGAGCCACCCCUGCCACCCCUUUCCCGCUGGAAACCACAGAUGGCAAUGACAGCAGUAGUCCCCUGGCAGCCACACACCCCUCUCCAAGAACCCCAGCGUGCCACCUGCCAGAGCCUGCAGCUCCCACACCCCUCUCAUGCCUCCAGCACAGCCCUGCCACCACUUGCAGAGGAAGCUGAGACCAGAGCACUGAAGUAACCUGCCCAAGACUGCACAGCUUGCUGGCAGAGGAGCAGAGCCUGCGGCACGGCCUCUGUGUUACACUGUGGGCCCUGAGGAUGAGGACUGGCCUGGAGUCCCUUUGGGUCUGCAGAGCAAUGCCUGGCACAGAGCAGGCCCUGACUGGGGCUGCAGAGUCACUAAGUCCCUGCAUGGGGGACCAACUGAUGCAGGCUCUGAGGUCCCAGGAUUCUGUGGAGAUUCACAGGGGACCUAGGACCCUCGGAGCUGCCCUCUGAAUUCAAGCAGUGGUGCCUCCUGUGCUUGUCAGGCAGGAUGAUCUGUGGGGCCUGUGGGCUCUGACCUCACUCUGCAGCAGCAAAGCCCAGAGGCCUCACUUUUUCAUGAACCAGCACAGGCUCUCCUGAGAGCCCUGGAGGGAAGGCUCCGGCUAUACUGCCUCCUGGUGUGAGGAGGCUUCUCUCUUGUCUGU